Molecule: ribosomal RNA, 465 nt
Filed under: Flavobacterium johnsoniae
Lineage: Bacteria; Pseudomonadati; Bacteroidota; Flavobacteriia; Flavobacteriales; Flavobacteriaceae
Description: bacterial SSU rRNA
Rfam family: Bacterial small subunit ribosomal RNA
Source: RNAcentral
AUCCUGGCUCAGGAUGAACGCUAGCGGCAGGCUUAACACAUGCAAGUCGAGGGGUAUGCCGAUUUAUCGGCAGAGACCGGCGCACGGGUGCGUAACGCGUAUGCAAUCUGCCUUCCACAGAGGGAUAGCCCAGAGAAAUUUGGAUUAAUACCUCAUAGCAUCAUGUUCCGGCAUCGGGAUAUGAUUAAAGUCACAACGGUGGAAGAUGAGCAUGCGUCCCAUUAGCUAGUUGGUAAGGUAACGGCUUACCAAGGCUACGAUGGGUAGGGGUCCUGAGAGGGAGAUCCCCCACACUGGUACUGAGACACGGACCAGACUCCUACGGGAGGCAGCAGUGAGGAAUAUUGGUCAAUGGACGCAAGUCUGAACCAGCCAUGCCGCGUGCAGGAUGACGGUCCUAUGGAUUGUAAACUGCUUUUGUACGGGAAGAAACACUCCUACGUGUAGGAGCUUGACGGUACCGUA